Molecule: non-coding RNA, 67 nt
Organism: Desmophyllum pertusum
Lineage: Eukaryota; Metazoa; Cnidaria; Anthozoa; Scleractinia; Caryophylliidae
Source: the annotation of a GenBank genome assembly
GGCCUGUUGGUCUAGUGGCAUGAUUCUUGCUUAAGGAGGUCCCGGGUUCGACUCCCGAGACAGGCCC